Molecule: ribosomal RNA, 482 nt
Filed under: uncultured bacterium
Lineage: Bacteria
Description: partial 16S ribosomal RNA
Rfam family: Bacterial small subunit ribosomal RNA
Source: RNAcentral
AUUGAACGCUGGCGGCAUGCCUUACACAUGCAAGUCGAACGGUAACAGGUCUUCGGAUGCUGACGAGUGGCGAACGGGUGAGUAAUACAUCGGAACGUGCCCGAUCGUGGGGGAUAACGCAGCGAAAGCUGUGCUAAUACCGCAUACGAUCUACGGAUGAAAGCGGGGGAUGGCAAGACCUCGCGCGGAGGGAGCGGCCGAUGGCAGAUUAGGUAGUUGGUGGGAUAAAAGCUUACCAAGCCGACGAUCUGCAGCUGGUCUGAGAGGACGACCCGCCACACUGGGACUGAGACACGGCCCAGACUCCUACGGGAGGCAGCAGUGGGGAAUUUUGGACAAUGGGCGCAAGCCUGAUCCAGCCAUGCCGCGUGCAGGAUGAAGGCCUUCGGGUUGUAAACUGCUUUUGUACGGAACGAAAAAGCUCUCUCUAAUACAGGGGGUGAAUGACGGUACCGUAAGAAUAAGCACCGGCUAACUACGUG